This 189-nucleotide ribosomal RNA is filed under the name uncultured bacterium. RNAcentral describes it as "partial 16S ribosomal RNA". It matches the Rfam family "Bacterial small subunit ribosomal RNA", at positions 340 to 526 of the family's 1533-position model. The record is from RNAcentral.
UACGGGAGGCAGCAGUGAGGAAUAUUGGUCAAUGGACGAAAGUCUGAACCAGCCAUGCCGCGUGCAGGAUGACGGCCCUAUGGGUUGUAAACUGCUUUUAUACAGGAAUAAACCAUCGAACGUGUUCGGUGCUGAAGGUACUGUAAGAAUAAGGAUCGGCUAACUCCGUGCCAGCAGCCGCGGUAAUAC